This 255-nucleotide ribosomal RNA is filed under the name uncultured bacterium. RNAcentral's name for it is "partial 16S ribosomal RNA". It matches the Rfam family "Bacterial small subunit ribosomal RNA", at positions 524 to 776 of the family's 1533-position model. The record is from RNAcentral.
UACGUAGGGUGCGAGCGUUGUCCGGAAUUACUGGGCGUAAAGAGUUCGUAGGCGGUUUGUCGCGUCGUUCGUGAAAACUUGGGGCUUAACUCCAAGCGUGCGGGCGAUACGGGCAGACUUGAGUACUACAGGGGAGACGUGGAAUUCCUGGUGUAGCGGUGAAAUGCGCAGAGUAUCAGGAGGAACACCGGUGGCGAAGGCGGGUCUCUGGGUAGUAACUGACGCUGAGGAACGAAAGCGUGGGUAGCGAACAGG